UGGGGAAUUUUGGACAAUGGGCGCAAGCCUGAUCCAGCCAUGCCGCGUGCGGGAAGAAGGCCUUCGGGUUGUAAACCGCUUUUGUCAGGGAAGAAAAGGUUCUGGUUAAUACCUGGGACUCAUGACGGUACCUGAAGAAUAAGCACCGGCUAACUACGUGCCAGCAGCCGCGGUAAUACGUAGGGUGCAAGCGUUAAUCGGAAUUACUGGGCGUAAAGCGUGCGCAGGCGGUUAUGCAAGACAGAGGUGAAAUCCCCGGGCUCAACCUGGGAACUGCCGUUGUGACUGCAUAGCUAGAGUACGGUAGAGGGGGAUGGAAUUCCGCAUGUAGCAGUGAAAUGCGUAGGUAUGCGGAGGAACACCGAUGGCGAAGGCAAUCCCCUGGACCUGUACUGACGCUCAUGCAAGAAAGCGUGGGGAGCAAACAGG
RNAcentral lists this ribosomal RNA (429 nucleotides) under Bacillota bacterium. Its description in RNAcentral is "Firmicutes bacterium partial 16S ribosomal RNA". It matches the Rfam family "Bacterial small subunit ribosomal RNA", at positions 355 to 776 of the family's 1533-position model. The record is from RNAcentral. Lineage: Bacteria; Bacillati; Bacillota.